This 204-nucleotide ribosomal RNA is filed under the name uncultured bacterium. RNAcentral describes it as "partial 16S ribosomal RNA". It matches the Rfam family "Bacterial small subunit ribosomal RNA", at positions 524 to 727 of the family's 1533-position model. The record is from RNAcentral.
UACGUAGGGAGCAAGCGUUGUCCGGAAUCAUUGGGCGUAAAGCGCGCGUAGGCGGCCCGAUAAGUCCGCUGUGAAAGUCAACGGCUCAACUGUUGGAUGCCGGUGGAUACUGUCGGGCUAGAGUACGGAAGAGGCAAGUGGAAUUCCUGGUGUAGCGGUGGAAAUGCGCAGAUAUCAGGAGGAACACCGUAGCGAAGGCGGCUC